This 119-nucleotide ribosomal RNA is filed under the name Triticum dicoccoides. The record is from RNAcentral. Lineage: Eukaryota; Viridiplantae; Streptophyta; Magnoliopsida; Poales; Poaceae.
GGAUGCGAUCAUACCAGCACUAAAGCACCGUAUCCCAUCAGAACUCCGAAGUUAAGCGUGCUUGGGCGAGAGUAGUACUAGGAUGGGUGACCUCCUGGGAAGUCCUCGUGUUGCAUUCU